This is a long non-coding RNA of Capsella rubella, 1027 nucleotides long. RefSeq lists it as uncharacterized. NCBI's taxonomy places the organism in Eukaryota, Viridiplantae, Streptophyta, Magnoliopsida, Brassicales, Brassicaceae. The transcript is spliced from 3 exons. The record is from RefSeq and is a predicted model, not a curated record.
CUCUUCACGUUUCUGGUUUUUUUUCUUUAUCAUUAUCUCUUGAAGUUUCUCAAACUCAGAAUUAUUGUAGAAGAACGGUUUGGUUUAGUUCCUCUUCUCUAACUCAAUAUGAGAUUUUCCAGUUCCAUAAUAUGGUGAAAACAACAAUACCAACCACAAGAUAAGGAAGCAAAAAAGCACCAUCAAAAACAAAGAAAGCGAUUGUGACUAGUAAAUCCAACGUUAAAGCAAGAAAGAAACCACAACCAAGUGGUACAGCUAAGCUUCAAAAAUCAGCUUUAAUACAGGAGCUGCCAUGGAAAGAAUGGGGGACAAAAUUGGUUAAAGGAGUCAACUAUAGGGCUGCACGUCAUAGAGCUGUUGUCAUACCAACUCUCUACGCUGAUGAUUUCACUCUUGAUGCAUUAGCAAUUCGUGAAGAUGUGGACUGACUUUUUCGAAAAUGGGGAUUACGAAAGUUCAUUUUUGUGAACUAUAGUGCUUAUGAGAUGCUUACUAAGGAGUUUCUUGGAACUGUCACAGUUUCUUUUCAGGAUGCUAGGACACCGGAAGCCGAGACCGGGAUAUUAGAUUUCUGCAUUGGUGACAAAGAGUACACUAUUACGAUUCUGGAUCUAUGCAAGGCAUUUGGUUUCAGUAAUGAUGAGAAGAUUCGAUUCACAAAGCGAAAGUACUUACCCAAUAUGGAGACAAUAUGCAGAUCAUAAUGCUUAUGAAGGUGGUUCUAAAGCAGCACAAAUCAAGCAUCCUACUUUGCGUUAUGCACAUAGGAUGUUAGCCAACACUAUGUUUUCUCAGUGAUCACGAUCAUGGAUUUCAUGGAUUCAGAGACACAACCACCGUAUAAUUUACCACAACUGGAAGCGGAUCACAUCAUGCUUUCUCUACUUUCUCCAGAAUGUAAAAGAUUCCAAUGGAAAAUACAAAUCAUUGGUAUUAUUUAAAGUUGAUUUAUUUUAUUUUAAUUAAGAAUUUGUUUUCCUUUAAAUUGGUGCAGCAGCCUUGACGUUAACGUAGCUUUACACCA